GCCUUCAUGGUGUAAUUGGAAGCGUACUCGACUCGUAUUUUGAGAGGUCCGAGUUCGAGUCCUGGUGAAGGCA
This 73-nucleotide transfer RNA is filed under the name Stegodyphus mimosarum. It matches the Rfam family "tRNA". From Rfam's summary of the family: Transfer RNA (tRNA) molecules are approximately 80 nucleotides in length. Their secondary structure includes four short double-helical elements and three loops (D, anti-codon, and T loops). Lineage: Eukaryota; Metazoa; Arthropoda; Arachnida; Araneae; Eresidae. The record is from Rfam by way of RNAcentral.